Molecule: long non-coding RNA, 2618 nt
Organism: Gossypium arboreum
Lineage: Eukaryota; Viridiplantae; Streptophyta; Magnoliopsida; Malvales; Malvaceae
Exons: 4
Source: RefSeq, a predicted model, not a curated record
ACCUAGGGACCUUUAUGUAAUUAAUCUAAAACUUUUUUUUUCUUUCUUUUCUCGUUGUACCUCAGAAAUGGAUUAAUUACAGAGAGAAAGAACAGAGAAAAAGAAAAAAAAAAAAUUCCCCGGGUAUGGAUAAUUAUCCCUUCUGGGUAGGUUGCUCUGCGGCUGAUAGUAUCAUCUUUUUACUCUGAGGAGGUGUCUCUUUAGUAACCAAUUCCAUGUUAAAUUUCUUAUGAACGAGCGGUGAAAGUGAAGCAGUUGCAGCAUCCAAAAAAAAAAAAGAACAGUAGGAGACUUCUUGUGCUGUAUAUUAUUGGCAUUUUAUAAGAAGAUGAAGCUUUGAAGCAACAAACUUUCUCUUAUUCUCUUAAGCUUGUGCUGGAAUUUCCUGAAUUCUUCCAAAUACUUUCAACCAAAAGAACACUGCAAAACUCAACGACACUUUGUAUUUAAGAAUUGAAGGGAAAUCGAUCAACAAAUCCUGCUCGAGGUCCUAAAACCGCUGAAGAUGUAAGGCGUUACAUGUUGUGUCAUCUUGAGGAUCAAGAAACUAUAAUUAUAUACUAUGCCGGGUAUGAAUGAGCUUUGCCCCUUUUUCUUUUUCCGUCUCCGAAGUGAGUGAAGUCAAGUUUGUAUCUGCAAAGCAAUACAGAAAAAUCUAUGUCUUUUAGAAAGACGAUAGCGACUCCCUCUGCACUCGAACAACCCAGAAAAAGUCAUCUCGCGUCGAACGACCAUGGAAGCAGGCAACUCAUUUAGUAUAGUGCCUAAGACCCUCUACUUGAACUUGCUAAAUUCACGUAUUGUCGCGGAAAAGAAAGUGUAAUUUACCUAAAUAUUAUUAUUUUUAUAUAUAAUAUAUAAAUGUAAAUUAUUAAUGUUUUAUAUAUAAUAUAAUACAAGUAGUUUGACCAUGGAGAAAGGUGUGCAAGAAUAAAGGACACGCACAAUAACAGAACAUUCAGGCACAGACUACUGAAGUAAGUCAAGAAGAAUUGAUGUUCGCAGCCUAAUGCAAAGCACAGUUCGCAGAAUCCUACGAACCCCCUGCGUUUGCAAGAGAUCUUAAUGACUGCUUCAGGACUCCAGUCAUGACAUGCCCCAUGCAUAAGGGGAAAACAAAGGAGGAUGCCCUGUGCCUUGCUAAUAAGAUGAAGAAAAUCACAGUAGCAGAUACGUUAGAGAAUAUGGAAGUGUGUAUCUCGCCAUUUUCAGUUCACAAUGGUGAUAUUUGCAGUAUCUAUAAACUCAAGAUUAGGCUUGUCAAACCUGGUCGGUAUUUCAAGAAGAGUGAUAUAUCAGUAGAAGACUGUGAACACAUUUUUAAGAUUCUGAUUUUGAGGGAGUAGGACGAUGACAUACAGAAACAUAUACUUUUGGUCUUUAGAAUUAGUGGCAUAAAAGAUUUUAUGCCAGAUUCUCAACCGACUGAUUCAAAUGAUAUAGAUGAAAAUGCGAAGGCAGAACUUGUGAGACUGAGCAUGAUGGUGGUGAUGAUACUGGUGAUGAGGAAAGAGGUGAGGAUCUUGGUCUAGAUGUACAAAAACAGAAACAGCAGACUACAUAUGAGAUGGACUAUGAAGAUGACUCAGGAGGGGAACAAUUGGAAAGUGAAAUUGACAUGUCCAAGGAUGAGAAGGUAGUUACUGAAAACAAUAUGAUUAGAUCAGAUGAUAUGUGUGAGAGUUCUCGUAGUAGUCCAAACCUAAAGAAUAUAUCUAUGCCUAUGUCAAGGGAGAAAAACACCAGAUAAUGACAUGGUAAACGAACCUCACGUUUUAUUGGCUCAGAUUGCAGAAAACGCAUUGAGACGAAAUGUCUUCAGCUGCUUGGAUGAGAGUGGACUCAGAUGCACCGAGAACAAGGGCGCGGACUAAACGAUUUUAUGUCCAGAGCUUUGGAAAGAUUGAUUGAUGUCGAGUGACGGACUGCAGUGAGAAUCAGGUGUUUUACCAUGGGGGAGAUCCAAAGAAAAGGAAGACUCAAUCUGACAAGGAAAAAAUACCAGCUCUGCACACUGCUGGAGUGGAUUUAGGUGCGUUUCGGGAGAGGGAAGAUCAACUUGAUGUUAGAUAUUUAUAUUCCAAUGGAAUUCAUGCAAUGCUUAAUGGGUAUGGAGUGGAAGCAGCCAGAGGAACCAUAAUUAGGGAGAUCAGUCACGUUUUCACAUCUUACGGCAUAGCUGUGGCUAUCCGGCACCUAACACUUACUGCUGAUUUUAUGACCCAUGCCUGAAGGUAUCGACCCAUGAGCAGGCUUGGUGCUAUAGCAGAUUCAAUAUCACCAUUCAGCAAGGUGUCUUUUGAGACAGCCUCUAAAUUCAUUGUUGAGGCAGCAAAACAUGGGCAGCUGGACAACUUGGAAACACCAUCGUCUAGAAUCUGCCUUGGAUUGCCAGUGAAAAUGGGCACCGGAUCUUUAGACUUGAUGCACCAACUGGAGAGUUGAGUUGAUGUAUGUAUCUAUAUUAGUAUUCUUGUUGUAGUUAUGGGAAUACUAAUGUUUGUUUAUCACAGUUUAGUGAUACAAAAUUGAAAAUUGACUUAAAACCUAAAUUAAUUUUAAGUCUUUGUAGGUAUUUACAUCAUUUAAUAAUUUAUAUAAUAUAUCUUUUUGAAAAA